AUGAGUUUCAAGAUCCUGCCCCCUGCAAAUGCUCAGGAGAGACUGGCCCGCCAGCAAGGCCUGGGUGCACUUCGGCAGCAGGGGCAGGAGGUGAGGGCCUUUGCCCAAUUCUUUUGGACUAUGUCCAGGGGCCUUGAGUACCAGGAUGCAGCCCUUAAGGAUGUCUUCAACCUCUGUCUAGAUGAUCCACUGCCUCAGUGGGAGAUGGAGCAAUUGAGGAUCUUGGACUUUUGGAACUUUUCCAAUUAUUUGCACCACCGCAAGGAUUGGCAGAUACUCACACCACCAGAGUCCACCGACAGUGAUCACCCCACUCUCCCUAAUCCAUCGAGUCAACUUCCUGAUCUUCUGACUCCCACUGAGAAAAGAAGAGAGAGAAGAAUGAGGGCAGCCAAAGCUGCUGCAUCUGCCAUUGAGACCUCUGUGGUUGUUCCAGCCUCCGAAUCGGCUGAAUCCCUCACGGUCACAUCUGAGUCUACCAAGUGCUCUGAAGCAUUCAAGCUGAAGGAAGCUGUGAGGGAAGUUCCCCUGUUAGCCCCUGUUUCUGUGUCAGUCAAGCCCCUUCUAGUUCAUUCAAAGCCAGUCAAGUCCAGUCCUGAAAAUUCUACGCCUGUUCAAGUCAGUCAAGAUGUGGGUGAGGUGACAGCCUACAGGCCUGGGAGGCGAAAGGGUAGGAGGGCCCGUGCCAGAAGUGCUAGAGCCCUUAGUCCCGAGACCUCUCAUGCAGUUAUCCCGGAGGAUCUCAAAUUGUCCACUGCUUCAGUCAUGCUCUUGGAGUCCAGUAUUGAGCAGCGUGCCCCAGAGCUCGCUCCAGUGUCGGCUCCAGCCCCAGAGCUCGCUCCAGUGUCGGCUCCAGCCCCAGAGCCCGUUCCUGUGGCCCCGGAGGGCAGUUUGUCAGCCCCCGAGGGCAGUCAAGAAUCAGUCUUGGAGUCCAUGGCAGUCCCAGACCCUAUUCUAGCCUCAAAGUCCACCCCAGAAUUGUCUCCAGUCUUAAACUUUGCUCAAGUCCCAGAGGCCCUGGAGUCUGCCCUAGAGUAUGUUUUAGUUCCAGACUUUUCUCCAUUCCCUGAGUUUACUCCGGAGCUACUCCCAGUCCCGGAGUUAUCAAGGUCCAUCCCAAUUUUGACUUCAGAGCAAUUUUCAGUCCAGGAACAACCAGAGAUCAUCACAGAGCAAGUCCAGGAACAGAACAAGGUCAUUCCAAAACCAGUCCCAGGGUAUGUUCCAGAGCCUACGUCAUUCCUGAAGCCAGUCUCUGAGUUUGUCCAAGAGCCAAUCCUAGAGCAAGAGUCUGUUCCAGUAGCCCCGGAGGGCAGUCAAGAAUCCACUCCUGAGUCUGUUCCAAUAGCCCUGGAGGGCAGUCCAGAACCAAUUCAGUCUGUCAAAGUCUGCUACGGAUUCAAUCCAAGAGCCCUCAGAGCCAGUCCCAGCACCCAUUCCUGAUCCAGUCCAACUUCAGGAGGGGGUACCUUACCAUACUCCAACCUCCAAAUCUCCAGAACUAUCCACUUCCCCUACCACUUUCAAGCCAUCAAUUGUCAAGCCGGUCAGUACUUCUACUUAUGCCACCACCCGUAUCCCUAUGGCCCCAUCUUCUCUGCGGCGAGGCUUUAACCGUACUCAAACCAUGCCUGCUGCCUUCAGCCCUACCCUGUCAGGCUACACCCCUGGACAUACUCCCACCCUUCCCACCCCCUCUCAUGUGCUGCCUGGUUGCUUUGGUUCUGCUAUGUCUGCACCCCCCUGGACUUGUUUGCCUGGUUUGGACGCCAGGAGGCGUCCUUUGGGAGAGGGGUACUGUCAGGGUUCUGCCCUGGCAGCUGUGUCUAUUUUGUCUUUGUUUAGUGUUUCUCUGUUUGUCCUGUGUAUGACCACAUGGCUUUGUCUUUGUUUAUGUUGGCCAUGUGCUCCUUUUGUCCUGCCCCCUUGUUUCACAUUACCACGCCCCCUCGUUUAGUCCUUGUUUGGCACUCAUUAAUUGAUUGUUCUCACCUUGUGUGGUGUGCUUUCCUUCCUAUUUAUUGUGCUCAUUUCCCUCAUGUGUUUGCUGGUUCGUUUUGCUGUGUGAGUUAGUGUUUGCUUAGCUUGCUAGCUGAUCUUUACUAAUCGAGAUUUUCUUUGUCUGUUAAAGUCUGGUAUUUAUUAGUUUAAGUUUAUCUGGUCACGGUUUAGUCCAGUUUCAGUUUUUCUUUUUGUUUGGAUCUCUAUUUUAGUUUCUCAUGAGUUUGAUUUGUUUUUGAGUUUGACUUGUUUUUGUUGUUGAGUUUGAGUUUCUUGAUUUAGUCUUUCCAGUUAUUUCUAGAACUAUUUUGUAUUUGUUUCUUUACCUUUUAAUUUACUUUUGGUAAGUCAGCUUUGGUUAUUUCUCUAGCUCCCCUUUUAUCUUGUUUCUAGGUCAUAGCAUUCCUGUCUGACUUUUUGCUCUUGUUUUGAAUUAUUAUUAUUAUUAUUAUUAUUAUUAUUAUUAUUAUUAUUACUAUUACUAUUUUUGUUCUCUUGUUGUCUUGAGUCUUGUCUAGUGUUUUGUGAGUUCUGUCUGUUCCUGUCUUGCCUCCUGCUUUCUCCCUGGCCACUGGGUCUCCCUGCCUGGAGGUCUGACAUGUGUGGCUUCACCUCCAUAGCCAAGUGCCCUUGGUUCCUGGUGCUGUGGUCUGGUCUCUAGCACAGCCUCCUCUACAGUCCUGCGCUCGGUUGGCACCCAGGGCCCUCCUCGGCGGUCAUCCCCCCCCAUCUGCCUGCUUCACUGUUGUACGCCCUUUCCUACUGUCUGGACUGUUCAAGCCACUCCCUCCUAUCGUGCUUGUCUUAUUUGUCAAUAAACGUCCCCUGUUCAAUCUGCAUUUGGGUCCUCUCCCUCAGUAACCCUGACAAAAAACAGAAUGCAAUGAUGUGGAAGUUUCAAAUUUCAAUAUUUUAUUCAGAAUACAACAUAGAUGACAUAUCAAAUGUUUAAACUGAGAAAAUGUAUCAUUUUAAGGGAAAUAUAAGUUGAUUUUAAAUUUCAUGGCAUCAACACAUCUCAAAAAAGUUGGGACAAGGCCAUAUUUACCACUGUGUGGCAUCCCCUCUUCUUUUUAUAACAGUCUGCAAACAUGUGGGGACUGAGGAGACAAGUUGCUCAAGUUUAGGAAUAGUAAUGUUGUCCCAUUCUUACAGGCUUCUAGUUGCUCAACUGUCUUAGGUCUUCUUUGUCGCAUCUUCCUCUUUAUGAUGCGCCAAAUGUUUUCUAUGGGUGAAAGAUCUGGACUGCAGGCUGGCCAUUUCAGUACCCGGAUCCUUCUUCUACGCAGCCAUGAUGUUGUAAUUGAUGCAGUAUGUGGUCUGGCAUUGUCAUGUUGGAAAAUGCAAGGUCUUCCCUGAAAGAGAAUCUGGAUGGGAGCAUAUGUUGUUCUAGAACUUGGAUAUACCUUUCAGCAUUGAUGGUGCUUUUCCAGAUGUGUAAGCUGCCCAUGCCACAUGCACUCAUGCAACCCCAUAGCAUCAGAGAUGCCGGCUUCUGAGCUGAGCGCUCAUAACAACUUGGGUUGUCCUUGUCCUCUUUAGUCCGGAUGACAUGGCGUCCCAGUUUUCCAAAAAGAACUUCAAAUUUUGAUUCGUCUGACCACAAAACAGUUUUCCACUUUGCCACAGUCCAUUUUAAAUGAGCCUUGGCCCAGAGAAAAUGCCUGCGCUUCUGGAUCAUGUUUAGAUAUGGCUUCUUUUUUGACCUAUAGAGUUUUAGCCGGCAACGGCGAAUGGCACGGUGGAUUGUGUUCACCGACAAUGUUUUCUGGAAGUAUUCCUAAGCCCAUGUUGUGAUUUCCAAUAUAGUAGCAUUCCUGUAUGUAAUGCAGUGCUGUCUAAGGACCCGAAGAUCACGGGCAUCCAGUAUGGUUUUCCGGCCUUGACCCUUACGCACAGAGAUUGUUCCAGAUUCUCUAAAUCUUUGGAUGAUAUUAUGCACUGUAGAUGAUGAUAACUUCAAACUCUUUGCAAUUUUUCUCUGAGAAACUCUUUCUGAUAUUGCUCCACUAUUUUUCACCACAGCAUUGGGGGAAUUGGUGAUCCUCUGCCCAUCUUGACUUCUGAGAGACACUGCCACUCUGAGAGGCACUUUUUGUACUCAAUCAUGUUGUCAAUUGACCUAAUAAGUUGCAAAUUGGUCCUCCAGCUGUUCUUUAUAUGUACAUUUAACUUUUCCGGCCUCUUAUUGCUACCUGUCCCAACUUUUUUGGAAUGUGUAGCUCUCAUGAAAUCCAAAAUGAGCCAAUAUUUGGCAUGACAUUUCAAAAUGUCUCACUUUCAACAUUUGAUAUGUUAUCUGUAUUCUAUUAUGAAUAAAAUAUAAGUUUAUGAGAUUUGUAAAUUAUUCCAUUCCUUUUUUACUCACAAUUUGUACAGUGUCCCAACUUUUUUGGAAUCGGGUUUGUAUAUAGUUUAAAUUUCUGUGGUGGACACACAACAUUUUCUGGUGGUGAAGCACAUCCUUCCCUAUCUUUUGUGGACUCAAGGUCAUUUGCAGUCGUUUCCAUAAUCUAAUCCUUGCGAUUAGAAAGAAAUGAUUUAAAUGCCCAAUUGAAGAGUUUUAAGCACAAUGCCGCAGGUGGCUUUCUGUAUUUUCAUAUAACUCAUCUAAAAAUCUUUGAGUACUGAGCUUUGAUUUGCCUUCCCCUCAUAAGUCCAGAGGUUUAGUUGAGUCUUGAAUUCAUCAAUAGAGCUUAAAAUACAUGUUAACUAUUGUU
Molecule: long non-coding RNA, 4721 nt
Organism: Cyprinus carpio carpio
Lineage: Eukaryota; Metazoa; Chordata; Actinopteri; Cypriniformes; Cyprinidae
Source: Ensembl